AAAAAAAAAAAAAAAUUAGCAGGGAGUCUGGUUAAAAUGAAUCAAAGUAGAUUUGUUCCUGCUUUUUCUAAGGACCAGUUACUUAUCAGCAUCAAUUCCAACCAAACAACACUGUCUGAAGUGACCUGACCAACCAAAUACCACUGCCUUGUUCUGUCUGGUCUCCGCGCCCAAAUCUGGGCCUGAGAAUCGCAUGGACUUUGGACUUGGAGGGGCUCAGCCAGGCCCCAACGCUGUGCUCAUAACUUCUCCCAACUUGGAAAGCCCCAGCCUAAGGGGGAAAUUCAGCCAGAGGAACUUUCACUUCAAAUCUAGAAAGCUCACUUCCCUAGGUGGAGGGACCUGGCUCCGUGCCGUUAGGGGCCCCACAGCAAGUCCAUAGAAGGCCACAGUUUUUGGAAAUAGGCUCAUGUGAGGGGUCGCAGCAUCCUUCAUCUUAGACUCACCUGUCUAAUGCAUCCCAGCUGCUCUGCUUGAGCCCUUCUUGAAAAUGUGCCCACACUAAAAAUUUAAAACAAAGGCAGAUGCUUUAACAACACCUCUUGUACGUACUUCCCAAAUGACCAGCUCCAACAGUGGGCUUGACAGAGCCCCCUCCUCGACUCUGAGAACGGGACCUAUGCAUACAUAACACUCAUCAAUGGUGCAGAGCGAUAGGAAAGUGCAAGGUGACAGGGGGAAGAGCUGUGGGAGCUCAGAGGAGAAUUUCGGUCCAGGGUGGGCACUGACAGGUUCUGCAAUCGGGGUCAAGGGCUCCAUCUUGGCAACCCCUCUGGCUCCAGCACAGGGCGUGGCCCACAAAAGCUGCUCUGGACAGGUUUGUGCAGCCAGGAGGGUGGCUGGUUCCACGCACACAGGUGGACCCUCCUGUUCUGGGAGGGGCCUGCAGGAGUGGCCGGGAUGGGACCUUUGGGGGCCGAAAGCUGGAGAGAGGCUGCCCUCUGCUGGCUGCUCCGGAGGGCCUGUCGGCCACUCCUCCUGUCCCCUGCUCCGGUAGCUGUCCUGCCCCGGGGCCCCUGUCUUCCAGUGCAGCCCCACGGUGGGGAAGGGGCCCGGGCGCACCUCCUGGGAGUAAGACCCGGGUAAAGGCAGUGGGCUGUAAGCCAGCUGCGGCCAGGUCAGGAAGCACCCACUGGACAAUGAAGGGCGCGGCGAGGAAAGAGGGACACCAGGCAGGGGAGGCACGGGGCGAAGGAGGGUCGGGUGACUGGAAGGCCCAGCAUCCGCAGGCGCGGCGCUUGCGCCGUCCCAGGAGACACCAGGUGGCGCUGUGGGGUCAGGGCAAAAGGCGGGCGCUGCCUUUCCGCGCACCCCACGCCCCCUUCUUCUCCCCGUGGACCCUGAGGACAGCUCCUGCGCAAGACAGCGCACGCGUCGAAUCCCCGACGCUCCCUUCUUCUCUGAGUACUGGCGCGCUUCGGGGCCCUGUGGAAUACCAAACCCUGUGAAAUUGACCCAGAGGGUCACCAAAGGGGCUUCAGAGAUUUGAAGACAGCUGUCAUCUGCCUGAGUGUGCCCCUCCCCACCAGAGAUCCCCUGGCCUUUCAGGGCAUCCUGAUGGAGGCACCAGGGAGCCCACUGAGUCCAGUGGAGGGGGAAAAACACAGCCAGGGGUUGGGGCCCCUCCAGGGGCCAGAGAAACAGACUGGAGACUUAAAAUAGGUCAAAGGGACAAAACGGAGGCAGCUCCUCCUGAGAAACGCCUGUCCCCUGCCUUUCUAGGGUGCAACUACCUCCACCCUAGUCUUCAUUUGGACAUUUUGGAGACAUUAUUAUUCAUCCAGCUUGUGUGCCUACUAUAUGCUAUAGACCCUUUGAAACCUUACAUGUAUUACCUCAUUUAAUUGUCA
Molecule: long non-coding RNA, 1850 nt
Organism: Cebus imitator (Panamanian white-faced capuchin)
Lineage: Eukaryota; Metazoa; Chordata; Mammalia; Primates; Cebidae
Exons: 2
Source: RefSeq, a predicted model, not a curated record